UCACACUGGCUGUUUUAAGAGAGAAAUCUUAAUGUAAGGAAUUGGCUCAACAGUAUUGGACAAGUGGAAAAGCAAACAAUGAGAUAUCAGAGGUAUGACUGCAGGAAACAGAUACCAUCCCUCGGGAUGGGGGGACAGAGGGAGAAGCUGAGAUUAUUACAAUCUAGAAACUGGAACCCCGACCCUUGACGAGGGCACGCCUGUGGCUGGUGUUGAUACAUCGGCAGGGAGGCCGGUUCUGGGGAUGUGAGAAACAGUUGGAAACUGGAACCAGUUGCCACUGCCGGGGCGAAGAGCUAUUGUGAGGUGACGUUGCCACAAAGGAAGGGCCAGCAGGAAGCCUCAAGUCCUUUUCCGGUGGCCAUCUUGUGCUCUCUAGCGCCCCCUAUGGACAGAGCCUGCCGUGGAAACAGCUGGAGAAACAAGUGUCACAAGACAGAACAGAGAGAAGUGAGUCACUAAGUCCAGUCCUGGAGGAAGAAAAUUAAGCUCCACUUCCCGGAGGGAGAAGUAUCAGAGAAUCCGUGGACAUCUGUUCAAACCACUAUGGUCCUGCUCGCACGCCUGCUGCUCCAUGAAUCCCCACCAGAACGGGAAGCUUGUCAAAAGGAGGAAGCAUGGGCUGUUCCUCUGUCUACCCCUGUGCCCAACCCGGAGCUUGGCCUUGAAGCGACACUUCAGAGUCUCAAGGAACAAAUGAACUGACUUCUGUCGGUGGCUCUACCACUCCCAAUCACCCAGGCCUGAAACCUGACCAGCCCAAUACCUGGCUGGUCACAAGCUCUGCUGAUUCUCCCUGAAAAGCCAACCCGACUUCUCAGUCUGGGCUUCACAGCCCUCCCCAGGCUGGCACCA
This is a long non-coding RNA of Prionailurus viverrinus (fishing cat), 855 nucleotides long. RefSeq lists it as uncharacterized. Lineage: Eukaryota; Metazoa; Chordata; Mammalia; Carnivora; Felidae. The record is from RefSeq and is a predicted model, not a curated record. The transcript is spliced from 3 exons.